RNAcentral lists this ribosomal RNA (483 nucleotides) under uncultured bacterium. Its description in RNAcentral is "partial 16S ribosomal RNA". It matches the Rfam family "Bacterial small subunit ribosomal RNA", at positions 30 to 507 of the family's 1533-position model. The record is from RNAcentral.
AUUGAACGCUGGCGGCAGGCCUAACACAUGCAAGUCGAGCGGAUGAAGGGAGCUUGCUCCUGGAUUCAGCGGCGGACGGGUGAGUAAUGCCUAGGAAUCUGCCUGGUAGUGGGGGAUAACGUCCGGAAACGGGCGCUAAUACCGCAUACGUCCUGAGGGAGAAAGUGGGGGAUCUUCGGACCUCACGCUAUCAGAUGAGCCUAGGUCGGAUUAGCUAGUUGGUGGGGUAAAGGCCUACCAAGGCGACGAUCCGUAACUGGUCUGAGAGGAUGAUCAGUCACACUGGAACUGAGACACGGUCCGACUCCUACGGGAGGCAGCAGUGGGGAAUAUUGGACAAUGGGCGAAAGCCUGAUCCAGCCAUGCCGCGUGUGUGAAGAAGGUCUUCGGAUUGUAAAGCACUUUAAGUUGGGAGGAAGGGCAGUAAGUUAAUACCUUGCUGUUUUGACGUUACCAACAGAAUAAGCACCGGCUAACUUCGUG